UACAGAGGUCCCAAGCGUUGUUCGGAUUCAUUGGGCGUAAAGGGUGCGUAGGCGGCGCGGUAAGUCGGGUGUGAAAUCUCGGGGCUUAACUCCGAAACUGCAUUCGAUACUGCCGUGCUUGAGGACUGGAGAGGAGACUGGAAUUUACGGUGUAGCGGUGAAAUGCGUAGAUAUCGAGAGGAACACCAGUGGCGAAGGCGAGUCCCUGGACACUUCCUGACACUGAGGCACGAAAGCUAGGGGAGCAAACAGG
This 253-nucleotide ribosomal RNA is filed under the name uncultured bacterium. RNAcentral's name for it is "partial 16S ribosomal RNA". It matches the Rfam family "Bacterial small subunit ribosomal RNA", at positions 524 to 776 of the family's 1533-position model. The record is from RNAcentral.